GACAGAGGGUGCAAACGUUGUUCGGAAUUACUGGGCGUAAAGCGAGUGUAGGCGGUCUCGUAAGCCGGGUGUGAAAGCCCCGGGCUCAACCCGGGAAGUGCACUCGAAACUGCGAGGCUAGAGUAUCGGAGAGGUUGGUGGAAUUCUCGGUGUAGAGGUGAAAUUCGUAGAUAUCGAGAGGAACACCGGUGGCGAAGGCGGCCAACUGGACGAAUACUGACGCUGAGACUCGAAAGCGUGGGGAGCAAACAGG
RNAcentral lists this ribosomal RNA (253 nucleotides) under uncultured bacterium. RNAcentral's name for it is "partial 16S ribosomal RNA". It matches the Rfam family "Bacterial small subunit ribosomal RNA", at positions 524 to 776 of the family's 1533-position model. The record is from RNAcentral.